AGAGACUUAGGUUAAUUUAAACCGAGAGCCUUCAAAGCUCAAAAUGGGAGUUAAAAUCCUCCAAUCUCUG
Molecule: transfer RNA, 70 nt
Filed under: Hyphessobrycon herbertaxelrodi
Lineage: Eukaryota; Metazoa; Chordata; Actinopteri; Characiformes; Acestrorhamphidae
Description: tRNA-Trp
Rfam family: tRNA
About the family: Transfer RNA (tRNA) molecules are approximately 80 nucleotides in length.
Source: RNAcentral